This 535-nucleotide ribosomal RNA is filed under the name Trigonopterus sp. 816 AR-2022a. RNAcentral describes it as "partial large subunit ribosomal RNA". It matches the Rfam family "Bacterial large subunit ribosomal RNA", at positions 1830 to 2625 of the family's 2925-position model. Lineage: Eukaryota; Metazoa; Arthropoda; Insecta; Coleoptera; Curculionidae. The record is from RNAcentral.
GGCUUAUUGUUCAUGAUUUUAAGUCUAACCUGCCCAAUGAGGAAUUAAAUGGCCGCGGUAUAUUGACCGUGCAAAGGUAGCAUAGUCAUUAGUUUUUUAAUUGAAAGCUUGUAUGAAGGGUUUGAUGAGGGGGUAUCUGUCUCUGUAGAGAUUUAUUAGAAUUUUAUUUUUAAGUGAAAAAGCUUAGAUUUACAUAGAAGACAAGAAGACCCUAUAGAGUUUUAUAUUAUAUUAGAAUAUAAGUUUGUUGGGAUAAAAAAUUUAGGAAUUGAUAUAGUAUUUUAUUGGGGUGAUAGGAAAAUUAAACAAACUUUUCUUUAUUAAGACAUUUGUUUAUGAAUUUAUGAUCCUAGAGUUUAGAUUAUAAGAUAAAAUUACCUUAGGGAUAACAGCGUAAUCUUUUUUAGAGUUCUUAUCGAAAAGAAGGAUUGCGACCUCGAUGUUGGAUUAAAAUUUAUUGUUGGUGCAGAAGCUUACACAUUAGGUCUGUUCGACCUUUAAAAUUUUACAUGAUCUGAGUUUAAACCGGUGUGAG